CGUAUCGAUAAAAACUGGAUCAAGCGUCUGCCGGAUAACUCAGCACCUUACACCUCCACCAUCGUUUUCCUGGUCCGCAAAGGCAAUCCAAAACAAAUUCAUGACUGGAAUGAUCUGAUUAAACCCGGUGUGUCGGUGAUUACGCCAAACCCGAAAAGCUCCGGCGGCGCACGCUGGAACUAUCUGGCGGCAUGGGGCUACGCCCUGCACCACAACAAUAACGAUCAGGCCAAAGCGCAGGACUUUGUCAAAGCCCUGUUUAAAAACGUUGAAGUGCUGGACUCCGGCGCGCGCGGCUCAACCAAUACUUUCGUUGAACGCGGUAUCGGUGAUGUGCUGAUUGCCUGGGAAAACGAAGCGCUACUGGCGACGAAUGAACUGGGUAAAGAUAAAUUCGAGAUAGUGACCCCGAGUGAAUCUAUUCUCGCAGAGCCGACCGUGUCCGUGGUGGAUAAAGUCGUUGAGAAGAAAGGGACGAAUGCGGUGGCGGAAGCGUAUCUGAAGUAUCUCUACUCGCCGGAAGGGCAGGAGAUAGCAGCGAAAAACUUCUACCGUCCGCGCGAUGCUGACGUGGCGAAAAAAUACGACGAUGCGUUUCCGAAGCUGAAGCUGUUCACCAUUGACGAGGUGUUUGGCGGCUGGGCGAAGGCGCAAAAAGAUCACUUCGCUAAUGGCGGUACGUUCGACCAAAUUAGCAAACGCUAAACCGUUUAUAAACCCGGUAACGUAUUAUGUUACCGGGUUUUUUCUUUGCCACAAUUUUGCGUUACUCUUCCCCGUCUAUGGGUCACAGGGAACGCAUAUCAUGAAAAAAACAGGCUACUUUUUACUGGCGGUGAUAGUGAUUGUCGCCGCGGCGGGCGUCGGUUACUGGAAAUUUUCCGGCAAUCCUGAUGCAUUACGGGAAAUCGUGCUUGAACAAUGCCUGCCCGAUCAGUUACAGCAUCAAAACCCAGCGCCUUGCGCGGAAGUCAAACCUCGCGCCGGCUAUGUCGUCUUUAAAGAUCGUCACGGUCCGUUGCAAUAUUUAUUGAUGCCCACCUACCGUAUCAACGGUACAGAAAGCCCGCUAUUGCUGGAACCCGCUACGCCCAACUUUUUCUGGCUGGCCUGGCAGGCUCGCGGCUAUAUGAGUAAAAAAUACGGGCAUGAUAUUCCGGAUAGCGCGGUCUCGCUGGCGAUUAAUUCGCGGCUUGGUCGUUCACAGGACCAUUUGCAUAUCCAUAUUUCUUGCAUCCGUCCUGACGUUCGGGAACAACUGGAUAACGAUCUCACGCGCAUCAGCACUCGCUGGCUUCCGCUGCCGGGUGGCCUGAUGGGGCAUGAAUACCUGGCGCGCCGGGUAACUGAGAGCGAACUGGCGCAGCGUAGUCCGUUUAUGAUGCUGGCGGAAGAGGUGCCGGAAGCGCGCGAUCAUAUGGGACGCUAUGCGCUGGCGGUGGUACGCCAAAGCGACGACUCUUUUGUCCUGCUGGCGACCGAGCGUAACCUGCUGACGCUUAAUCGCGCAUCGGCGGAAGAGAUUCAGGACCAUAGUUGCGCCAUUUUGUCUUCCCGCUGAUUUUCGUUACACCCCCCUGCUCAUUAUCUUAUUGAUUCUUAUCCCGGUUUAAAACUGGGGUAAGAUCGUGUCUAUAAAAAUAUGUGAAACCGAUCAAAAGAUAUAAAGGUAUACCUUUAUAUCUUUUGAUGGUUCGUUACACUCUCUUCAUAGCCUCCAUAGAUUGUCUGGUGGAUGGCUUAUAUAAAAACGUUUUUAUUUCAUGUAGUGACAUCAUUAAUUGUUCACCAGAUUUGCGCUGCUAAGCGUAAAGGAAUAUCAACAUGAAACUUUCUAUUGUGGAAAAAAUCGGCUUCGGCGCGGGAGAUAUGGCGAUAAACGUUGUGAUUAUCGCCAUGCAGCUGCUCCUCGCCUAUUUCUAUACCGAUAUCUACGGCCUGAGCGCCGCUGAUGUUGGCGUACUGUUUGUGGUUGUGCGGAUGAUUGAUGCCAUUAUCGAUCCGGCCAUGGGGGUUCUUACCGAUAAACUGAACACGCGCUGGGGGCGUUAUCGCCCGUGGCUGCUGUGGUUUGCUAUUCCUUUUGGUUUCGCCGUGUAUUUGAUGUUUAUUACGCCUGACAUGGCUUAUAUGGCCAAGCUGGCGUGGGCCUAUGGCACCUAUAUUCUUAUGACCCUGGUCUAUACUGCGAUCACCAUUCCCUAUAUUUCGAUGAUUGGCGUCAUUACCAGCGACCCCGUCGAACGGUUAAGCGCCAACGGCUAUCGUUUUGUGAUGACCAAGAUUGCCGCUUUCCUGGUGACUAUCGUCGUACCGAUGCUUGCCGUCUGGCUGGGGCAGGGCAACAAGGCGCUGGGUUACCAGUUUUCGAUGGGGCUGAUGGGGGCGAUGGGCGCCUUGCUGUUUAUCUUCUGUUUUCUUACCACGCGUGAACGCAGCGAGCCGGAAAUUACGUCGUUAUCGGUGGGGAAACAGUUUAAAUAUCUGUUACGCAACGAUCAGUGGAUUAUUCUCGGCGUUGUUAUUCUGCUGCUGAUGUGCGGUUAUGUUAUUCGCGGUUCCGUUGCCGCUUAUUACGCCAAGUAUUAUCUGAACGGCGGAGAUAGUCUGAUUUCACCCUUCCUGACUACCGGCGUCGUUGCCUCUAUUUUAGCGAUGAUCGCUACCACCUGGAUAACCAAGUUCUGGGACAAAAUUAAGAUGUUCCGCUACACCCAGAUUAUUACCUUUAUCCUGAGCGCGCUGAUGUAUUUCUCCGUCGGGCGUGAAAAUCUUAUCCUGGCGUUUGCGUUCUAUUUUCUUAUUAAUUUCUUCUGCGAUAUGCAAAUGCCGGUGUUCUGGUCCUCUAUCGCCGAAGCGGUGGAUUACGGAGAAAAGAAAACCGGUCUGCGCGUUUCCGGGUUG
RNAcentral lists this ribosomal RNA (2904 nucleotides) under Salmonella sp. FORC89. Its description in RNAcentral is "23S ribosomal RNA". The record is from RNAcentral. Lineage: Bacteria; Pseudomonadati; Pseudomonadota; Gammaproteobacteria; Enterobacterales; Enterobacteriaceae.